CGACAGAAGUGCCGGGAGAGCUUGUGAUACUCCCCCCUGAGUUUCGACGACCUCUGGCCGAAGCGACAGAAGUGCCGGGAGAGCUUGUGAUAAUCCCCCCUGAGUUUCGACGACCUCUGGCCGAAGCGACAGAAGUGCCGCGUUACUCAAAUCAGGCUUACCCUGAGUUUCGACGACCUCUGGCCGAAGCGACAGAAGUGCCGGGAGAGCUUGUGAUACUCCCCCCUGAGUUUCGACGACCUCUGGCCGAAGCGACAGAAGCGCCGGGAGAGCUUGUGAUACUCCCCCCGAAGGUUGUGCUUUGGUGCUACACAACUUUUGUGAUGAGUGUUUUUCGAUUUAUGUGAUUGUCGGUAAACGACCAAUCACAAAUACUCGACACUCCAAGGUUGCCUUGAAACUCGGAACCUUUAAAGAUGGAGAGAGCUUGUGAUACUCCCUCCCAAAGUAUAAUGACUUCUGGCCGAAGCGACAGAAGUAUUGGGAGAGUUUGUGAUACUCUUCCCUUGAAUUUGACGACUUCUGGCCAAAGCGACAGAAGUGCCGGGAGAGUUUGUGAUACUCCCCCCUGAAGUGUGAUGACUUCUGGCCGAAGCGACAGAAGUGUUAGGAGAGUGUAAUAUUUUUGUAAUAUUUUUGGAACUUAUUUUAACCAAUUAUUUUGCUUUCUUAAUUAAUUGUUUAUUUAAUUUAUUUUUCGAAUUGUAACUAAGACCCGAAACUAGAUUCACAAGUCGUAAUUUAGCCACUCUGGACGUAAAUUAGACUCUGGUAACCCUAUUGCUAGCCACUCUGGGCGUAGGCUUGGUCG
Molecule: long non-coding RNA, 811 nt
Filed under: Zostera marina
Lineage: Eukaryota; Viridiplantae; Streptophyta; Magnoliopsida; Alismatales; Zosteraceae
Description: long non-coding RNA (ZMAR_LNC004090)
Source: RNAcentral